RNAcentral lists this unclassified non-coding RNA (196 nucleotides) under uncultured fungus. RNAcentral's name for it is "sequence contains ITS1". Lineage: Eukaryota; Fungi. The record is from RNAcentral.
UUAAUUCAAUUUAUCAAGACUCGGAAUUCACAGUUAAACAGAUUUUAGAAAUCCUCUGGCGGACGCUCUCCAGCCUAGGCCGGCGGUGAGACCACCGGUCCGCCAAAGCAACAUUCAAAGUCAACAUAGGGUGGGAGUAGGAACCCGAAAGCUCCGGUACUCGGUAAUGAUCCUUCCGCAGGUUCACCUACGGAAA